This 476-nucleotide ribosomal RNA is filed under the name uncultured bacterium. RNAcentral's name for it is "bacterial SSU rRNA". It matches the Rfam family "Bacterial small subunit ribosomal RNA", at positions 355 to 846 of the family's 1533-position model. The record is from RNAcentral.
UGGGGAAUCUUGGACAAUGGGGGCAACCCUGAUCCAGCCAUGCCGCGUGAGUGAUGAAGGCCUUAGGGUCGUAAAGCUCUUUCGCCUGUGAAGAUAAUGACGGUAGCAGGUAAAGAAACCCCGGCUAACUCCGUGCCAGCAGCCGCGGUAAUACGGAGGGGGUUAGCGUUGUUCGGAAUUACUGGGCGUAAAGCGCACGUAGGCGGACCAGAAAGUUGGGGGUGAAAUCCCGGGGGCUCAACCCCGGAACUGCCUCCAAAACUAUUGGUCUAGAGUUCGAGAGAGGUGAGUGGAAUUCCAAGUGUAGAGGUGAAAUUCGUAGAUAUUAGGUGGAACACCAGUGGCGAAGGCGCCUAACUGGUCCGGUACUGACGCUGAGGAACGAAAGCGUGGGGAAGCAAACAGGAUUAGAUACCCUGGUAGUCCACGCCGUAAACGAUGAGUGCUAGAUGUUGGGAUUUUCGGGAUUUCAGUGU